This 100-nucleotide ribosomal RNA is filed under the name Aliivibrio sp. SR45-2. Its description in RNAcentral is "partial 16S ribosomal RNA". It matches the Rfam family "Bacterial small subunit ribosomal RNA", at positions 1 to 94 of the family's 1533-position model. Lineage: Bacteria; Pseudomonadati; Pseudomonadota; Gammaproteobacteria; Vibrionales; Vibrionaceae. The record is from RNAcentral.
UUUAAUUGAAGAGUUUGAUCAUGGCUCAGAUUGAACGCUGGCGGCAGGCCUAACACAUGCAAGUCGAGCGGUAACAGAAAGUAGCUUGCUACUUUGCUGA